RNAcentral lists this ribosomal RNA (204 nucleotides) under Escherichia coli. RNAcentral's name for it is "partial 23S ribosomal RNA". It matches the Rfam family "Bacterial large subunit ribosomal RNA", at positions 2739 to 2925 of the family's 2925-position model. The record is from RNAcentral. Lineage: Bacteria; Pseudomonadati; Pseudomonadota; Gammaproteobacteria; Enterobacterales; Enterobacteriaceae.
UGCCCGGUAGCUAAAUGCGGAAGAGAUAAGUGCUGAAAGCAUCUAAGCACGAAACUUGCCCCGAGAUGAGUUCUCCCUGACCCUUUAAGGGUCCUGAAGGAACGUUGAAGACGACGACGUUGAUAGGUCGGGUGUGUAAGCGCAGCGAUGCGUUGAGCUAACCGGUACUAAUGAACCGUGAGGCUUAACCUUACAACGCCGAAG